This 266-nucleotide ribosomal RNA is filed under the name uncultured bacterium. RNAcentral's name for it is "partial 16S ribosomal RNA". It matches the Rfam family "Bacterial small subunit ribosomal RNA", at positions 88 to 354 of the family's 1533-position model. The record is from RNAcentral.
CCGGCGACCGGCGGACGGGUGCGUAACGCGUAUGUAACCUACCUUUGACAGGGGGAUAACAUCGAGAAAUUGGUACUAAUACCCCAUAACAUCACCGGAGGCAUCUUCGGUUGGUUGAAAACUCAGGUGGUCAGAGAUGGACAUGCGUUGUAUUAGCUAGUUGGUGAGGUAACGGCUCACCAAGGCGACGAUACAUAGGGGGACUGAGAGGUCAACCCCCCACAUUGGUACUGAGACACGGACCAAACUCCUACGGAAGGCAGCAG